Molecule: unclassified non-coding RNA, 445 nt
Filed under: Hevea brasiliensis (rubber tree)
Lineage: Eukaryota; Viridiplantae; Streptophyta; Magnoliopsida; Malpighiales; Euphorbiaceae
Source: RNAcentral
UUGAAUCCUCUAAAAGUGGUAUUCAUUAUGGUGCAAACGACUGCCUAUGGGGAUGAGCUCCAGCCUGGUAAAGAGUGAGAUGGUGUAUAGCGUUGGCAAACAAAUCCCUCAACUCAGGAUGUUGAGCUGUCACAGCACGAGCAGCUCCUUCAAGAGCAUUCAAAGCCCUCACUUGUUCAAGAGCCUUGCUAUUUCCAGCAUUCAGUGCAAGGUAACAUAAUAAUAUUAGGCCAUGCACUCGAGCUUGAUCACCGUUCCGUAUCAAUUUCAUCAAAGGCUGAACUCCAUUAAACUCUAUAACAGCUUUUGAAUGUUGGGAGCAAUUGAAAUUAUCCGGAGACACAAAUUUCCCCAAGGCAAUAGCUGCUUCAGUUGCAACAUUCACAUUGCUGUUACCAAGCUGAACAACCAAAGGCCCAACUAUCCUGGUCUCCCUAGCAGGGAA